CAGCAGCCGCGGUAAUACCGAGGGUGCGAGCGUUAAUCGGAUUUACUGGGCGUAAAGCGUGCGUAGGCGGCUUCUUAAGUCGGAUGUGAAAUCCCUGAGCUUAACUUAGGAAUUGCAUUCGAUACUGGGAAGCUAGAGUAUGGGAGAGGAUGGUAGAAUUCCAGGUGUAGCGGUGAAAUGCGUAGAGAUCUGGAGGAAUACCGAUGGCGAAGGCAGCCAUCUGGCCUAAUACUGACGCUGAGGUACGAAAGCAUGGGGAGCAAACAGGAUUAGAUACCCGAGUAGUCCCUGUCUCUUAUAC
This 301-nucleotide ribosomal RNA is filed under the name uncultured bacterium. RNAcentral's name for it is "partial 16S ribosomal RNA". It matches the Rfam family "Bacterial small subunit ribosomal RNA", at positions 509 to 807 of the family's 1533-position model. The record is from RNAcentral.